This 274-nucleotide ribosomal RNA is filed under the name uncultured bacterium. RNAcentral's name for it is "partial 16S ribosomal RNA". It matches the Rfam family "Bacterial small subunit ribosomal RNA", at positions 523 to 796 of the family's 1533-position model. The record is from RNAcentral.
AUACGGAGGGGGCUAGCGUUGUUCGGAAUUACUGGGCGUAAAGCGCGCGUAGGCGGUUUUCCAAGUUGGGGGUGAAAUCCCGGGGCUCAACCCCGGAACUGCCCUCAAAACUGGAUGACUAGAGUCCGGGAGAGGUUGGCGGAAUUCCUAGUGUAGAGGUGAAAUUCGUAGAUAUUAGGAAGAACACCAGUGGCGAAGGCGGCCAACUGGACCGGAACUGACGCUAAGGUGCGAAAGCGUGGGGAGCAAACAGGAUUAGAAACCCCGGUAGUCC